UACAUAGGGGGCAAGCGUUAUCCGGAAUUAUUGGGUUUAAAGGGUGCGUAGGCGGGACUGUAAGUCAGGGGUGAAAUACUGCAGCUUAACUGUAGCAUUGCCUUUGAAACUGCUGUUCUUGAGUACAGUUGAGGUAGGCGGAAUGUGGUGUGUAGCGGUGAAAUGCAUAGAUAUACCACAGAACUCCGAUUGCGAAGGCAGCUUACUAAGCUGUUACUGACGCUGAGGCACGAAAGCGUGGGGAUCAAACAGG
This 253-nucleotide ribosomal RNA is filed under the name uncultured bacterium. RNAcentral describes it as "partial 16S ribosomal RNA". It matches the Rfam family "Bacterial small subunit ribosomal RNA", at positions 524 to 776 of the family's 1533-position model. The record is from RNAcentral.